Long non-coding RNA from Serinus canaria (Common canary), 4458 nucleotides. RefSeq lists it as uncharacterized. Lineage: Eukaryota; Metazoa; Chordata; Aves; Passeriformes; Fringillidae. The record is from RefSeq and is a predicted model, not a curated record. The transcript has 3 exons.
GCCAAGUGAAUUGUAGUCUAAAGCUUUUCCUUGAAUUCAAGGCUGUGUUUACUGCAGUCAGGGCGAGGGGAAGGAGGCAACCCCAAAGCCCUCCCUCCUCCUCUUCCCCCACCCUGCAAGCCCCAGGCUUGAAACUUGAUUUAAAAAAAAAAAUACAAGAUUGAAUUUCAGUUUGCAGGAUUAGGGAGAUGACUUUUAGGGGCUGCUUGUUGGAAAAAAAGGAAAGCAAAGCAGCUGGGAGGGAUUAGGCUGAGCUGGCGUCUGCACUUUCAACUGAUUCAAUUUUGCUCCACAAGACAUUGUAUCUGAGCCUUUCUGGAGACUAUUCAAAGCAAAUCAUUUUCAUUUUACCAUUUGGUGGUGUCGUGGGGAUCCCAAGGGAUGGGGAGUGAUGGGGGCACGGAGGUGCUUGGGGUGACCUGACCCUGCCACCCAGAGCACUUCAGCCGUGCUGCAAAAUAGAUGCAGCCCCAUUGUGAAGGGAAAAGUUCUGCUGCUAUUCCCAUUCCCAAGAUGAUGAGCCCCCAAAGAAACUAUGCUCCUUGGUAAAAUGGACUGCAAUGAGCCUGGGAUGUCAGGAUGCUCUCAGGAAUGACAGACAGGUAAGGCACAGAAAAACGUUUUGGUGUCCACUCACCUUUUUUUUAAGGUUUAUUUUCUUUUGCCUGAUUGUUGGGCAUCUGUCCUGAGCUCUGCUCCCCUCUGGGAACAAGGCUGCUCCCUCUGUUUCUCCAGGCAGGUGUCCACAUCUCCAUUUAGGUGCCAGGGCUGAUCUGGGGACGUGCUGAGGCGCCACAGUGUCCCCAGAGAGGGGGGUGGCCAUCCCAGCUGCAGCUCCUCUGCCCGGGGCUCAGCUCUGUCACCAGCUGUCCUGGCCCUGCUGCAUUUCCCAGCAAUGCUGGAGACUUAGACCACAAUAGAAGGAAAUCACUAAAGCUGAAUUGCUCCAAGUAAGUCCUCAGCAGGGUUUGACUGGUAAAUAUUUAACAAGGAGAACUCCCUAUCCUCUCCUGGUACGUAUUAAACUAAUACAUUUAUUUUAACAAGGGAAACGGUUUCCCCAAGCUCCUGCUCAAUUUGAGCCCUUGACUUCUACAAAAGCCUCCGUAAGGCUGGCUUCCUGGGGCUCAGUAAUUCACUGGGACUAAACGAGAGAUGGCUCUGAGCCAUGAACUUGGAGUCUGGAGGUGACAGGACCUCCCCAAGGUUGGGGAGAGCUCAGUAUUGGGGUUUCCAUUCCCACCUGCCUUCAGGCUGGUCCGACACCCACCUCAGGACAUCCCUGCCACCACCAGCUUCUGACCACUUCAGCCAUGCUGUGGAGCCAGAUUGACUGUAUCCCACCACAGUUUCCACAUGCUGGAAGCAGCUGUCAUGCCAAGUUCUCCCCACAGAAGCUUUGCAAAGCACCAGCUCCACCAGCACCCAUCCCACAUUUCCUGGAUCCCCAGUAAUUUCUGCUGCCUCUUCCCAUGCUCAGAUGGAGCCAGGUGCCAUGGACAUGAUGCUGGGAAAGUGAGCAGUUCACAUUCCUUGUCCCCCACCUGGUGAUGCUGAAGGUUUAUUUUCCCUUGGCUCUGCUCUUUCCUCCAUCUGUGAACCAGAGGGGGACUGGCACCCCCUGAGCAGAAGUGUUUCACUACCAGUGAUCCUCUGAGAUGCCCAAAGCCAUUUCUGCUCAGCAAACCCUGCUGAGCCAUCUCCUCGUGCUUUCUGACCUGAGCAGGACACACUCACAUGUGCAGCCCCACACACGGGAGCUUGGUUCUCCACAAGACCUUCCCACAGGACUGGGGACUGUGUCCCUUUGUGCUCCAAGCAGGAAGGUGGUUGCCCAGUGAAUGCUGCCUCUGCUAAACCUGCCCUGAACAGCUCACAGGACAUGUCCCUGGUGCCACAGCCCACCCAUGGGCACCCACAAACUGCAUGGCUGCUUCCCAUGGCAUUGCUGCUCCUGGGGCCCCCAGAGAUGGUCCAUCCCCUGCAGGCAGUGGAGGCUCCUGGUGUUACUGCCUGCCAUCCCAGCUGGCAGAGCCCAGUGCUGCCCUUGAGGGCUGCAGGCAGGCUCUGAGGCUGCUGGACUCUCUCUAGUACCCUCUAAUAUUUUACUAUACUAAAAUUUUAUACUAAUAGUUUUUCAGACUUUCCCUCAAGGAAAUAAGAAUCUCUGAAAGCAACUCCCAACUUUGCAUCUUUGCUCGGAGCCAUCCCAUGACUCCAGCACUUCCACUCUGACUCACGGGUAGAGGGCAGGUUUGAACAACUGUGGCUGCUUCUGCCAAGGCAAUAAUGACUCCUGGCAUCACAGCCCAAAAGUCUCUGGGAAACUUUCCCUGCUCAGCUUACCCUGGUUGCAGUGUGUGAGAUGAUGUGUGACAUUCCCAGGAGAGAUGCAGGGAAAGGGAGGAUGUGGGGCCUUGGUGCAUUGGGAAGAGCUCCCUGGUUCCAUGAACCAUCCCCUGCACACUUUGGCAUCUCUCCCCAUGCCUGAUGGGUAAGUAGUGCUGGGAGAUCCUUUCCGGUGAUGCUGUGAGCAUGAAAACAUCCAACAAAACUUGCUGUGGCCUGAGCACCUGACUUCUUUUCUCCUGCUGCUAUGAUCUGACACAUUUACCCUUCGUCACCACUAAAACAUGUCUCUAAGCAUCCCUUCCCCAAAUAUUCCACUCUGCCUUCAGUUCUUCCCAAUAUUUAACAAAUACCUCUCUUGAGAAGGGCUGAGGGGAGACAAGGAAUGUUUGCAAUGUUUACCUUACCCUCACAAGCAAACAUCAAGCCUGUCCCUCAUCCCAUCCCCACCUGUCCCAGCCCACAGUAGGCAGCAAGGUCUUUCCCACUGCCAACAAUAUCAGUAGGAAAAUCCUUUCCACUCCGCUUUUCUGGGAUUGUGAUUCCAGCAAGCCUUACAGCAGCUUGGCAGUACAGUAAAUAAGAAACAGAUUUCCAAAUGUUUUGAUUUACCAUCUUUUCUUUGUCGCAUCUAAGCCUGGGGGCUGAGGACCUGACUCCAGAAAGUCUCCAUCCAGAUCACCAACCUGCACCCAGAGGCAGUAACCCCACGGUGAGCCAGGACCUGGCAUGGGCUCAGCCUGCCUGGGGAUAUCCCAGAGGAGAGCCUGCCACGCAGAGCAGCAGCUCCUCAGGCCAGCAGAAAUCCACAUGUCUGUUCAGAAGUGCCAGUUCCAGUGCAAAAUGGAAAACUGGACAGAAAAUAAGCCUCUGGAGCACAUCCCAUGCUGAGGGUGGUAAGCCACGAAACAUUCACUGCAGUUGCUUCUGUGCUGGUCUGAGCUGUUGUGCUGUUCCUCUCACCAUUGUCCCCAGCUGCAUUUUCCCCACAUGCUCUUUUAUACCCAUGAAUAUUUCAAUGACAGUCUCAAAGCACUGGCACUGAUCCUCUUCCUAUGUUAGCAUCAGUGCAGGAUAACCUCAUCAGCUGGAACAGGCCCUGGUGCAUGGUCAUGCAAGAGGGGCAGGAAUGGCAGGAUUCAGGUACUGAUCCCUUUUAUAACAGAAAACCCAUUUUCUGGACUUUUCCAAAUCUGCUUUUAACUGGACUCUCCACUUGUUGAACUAGGGGAGGUCCCACUCAGUUCAAACCCUUCCCUAAAAUAUUCCUUGAGAUGGCUCCAGGUAACACAACUUUAUGUAUCAGAGCAUGAUGCUACCUGUGAGUGUCAUAUCAAGCACAGCAUCCAUCUGAAGAUUACCUCUUGUGCAGAGUGAGACUGGACUCCACUCCAUUGCACGGUUUUGGAACAAACUUUGAGUCCUUUCUCAAGUGGAAAAUCUCUGUGGGAUGCAGUUAUCUUGCAGAAUAAAGGCUGUUCUCCCUGUCUGAUUCACCCAGGUGAUGACUAAGGUCAUGAAGCAUUUCUCAAGCAAUAUGUUAUUCACAGAUCUUUCAUCCAACACCUUCUCCCUGCACAGGAAAAAAACAUACUCCAACCUAAUGAUCGCAGUGGGAAACCUCUUCUCUGUCCAUGUCUCACUGCCAGGGUCUGCAGCCUUGGAGAAAUAAGUCAUGACCCCUCAAGGAAGUCCUCUGGAGAAGACCAGUCACUGGGCUGCAUAUUAAACCUCCAAACUUUAUCCUCAUAAAUUAAUUUUUCUCUUUUUAAUACAAUAUUUCACACAUUGCAGGUUUGGUUUUUGAAUAUGUCAGAGCCAGUUAAUGGGCUCAGAUUAGUCCCAGCCUGGUUUCACCACAGCCAAAGUGGCAACAGUAAGAGAUGCAGCCUCCAACACCAACAUGCCUUUGAGCAGAGUCCUUCUGUCUGCUGGGAAGGAUGACUUGCAAAAUAGGCAGAUAAAGCGUGUGCUUAUGAAUUUCGUAAUGCUGGCACUCAGAUGCCACGGUGCAGGGUAAUCCCAUGGAUCAUGGAGGGAAUACUUUGAGGGCAGAGCUUCAAAGCUGUGUCUAGGUGCUGCAGGAACUGAUGCUGGCAUGGAUUAAUU